This 71-nucleotide unclassified non-coding RNA is filed under the name soil metagenome. RNAcentral describes it as "partial internal transcribed spacer 1". The record is from RNAcentral.
UUGAUUUUAGUUAUUUGUGAACGUACUACGAACAAACAGAAAAAUAUUAUGGUCAAAAAAAAAUUAAAUCA